This is a long non-coding RNA of Myripristis murdjan (pinecone soldierfish), 599 nucleotides long. RefSeq lists it as uncharacterized. Lineage: Eukaryota; Metazoa; Chordata; Actinopteri; Holocentriformes; Holocentridae. The transcript is spliced from 3 exons. The record is from RefSeq and is a predicted model, not a curated record.
CACCUCGACUCCACAUUUGAGGGAUAGAGAUUCAACUAAGGUGGUUGCAGGAAGGGGAGCUAUGUGAAAACAGUGCUGUGUGCCAGAUCCCAUUUGAAUGAAUGGUUUGGCCCUAAACUUGCAGGCCCCAGGGAAAUGAUGCCGGCCAUGGCUUAGUUAUUGCUGUGUCAGAGGAGCGCUGGCCACUGCUGUUUUUGCCCGUCCACAAACUUGUUCGUGUUACUGUGCUUCUUAUGGAUUAGUUUUUGAGAGUCAUUUCCUGUAACUUAUUGGUUUUGUUUGUUUGUUUUUAUAAACCAACUUUGUGGGCUUGAUUUGUAUCAGUACAGGUGGGUUGUCAUAUGCUUACAGGCGGUGAAUCACUGGGUGGAAGGUCUUAUUUUGGGUUUUAUUUGCAUGCUUAAGUUGCUGUGUGUUAAUUCUUGUGCCCUUUUGUUUUGCAGUGUGUGUGUGACCUUCCUUCUUCCUCCGUACCUGGUGGUGGUGACCCCUCCCUCCCUCACUUUCACUCCUGUAGGUUCCCUGGCAAUUCCCCACCAGUACUGGUACUCAUUUACUUAUGGCGAUCUUUUAGCAAAGGACAUAUAUGUAUAUUUAUG